This 1346-nucleotide ribosomal RNA is filed under the name uncultured bacterium. RNAcentral's name for it is "partial 16S ribosomal RNA". It matches the Rfam family "Bacterial small subunit ribosomal RNA", at positions 28 to 1381 of the family's 1533-position model. The record is from RNAcentral.
GACGAACGCUGUCGGCGUGCUUAACACAUGCAAGUCGAACGGAAAGGCCCUGCUUUUGUGGGGUGCUCGAGUGGCGAACGGGUGAGUAACACGUGAGCAACCUGCCCUUGACUUUGGGAUAACUUCAGGAAACUGGGGCUAAUACCGGAUAGGAGCUCCUGCUGCAUGGUGGGGGUUGGAAAGUUUCGGCGGUUGGGGAUGGACUCGCGGCUUAUCAGCUUGUUGGUGGGGUAGUGGCUUACCAAGGCUUUGACGGGUAGCCGGCCUGAGAGGGUGACCGGCCACAUUGGGACUGAGAUACGGCCCAGACUCCUACGGGAGGCAGCAGUGGGGAAUAUUGCACAAUGGGCGGAAGCCUGAUGCAGCAACGCCGCGUGCGGGAUGACGGCCUUCGGGUUGUAAACCGCUUUCGCCUGUGACGAAGCGUGAGUGACGGUAAUGGGUAAAGAAGCACCGGCUAACUACGUGCCAGCAGCCGCGGUGAUACGUAGGGUGCGAGCGUUGUCCGGAUUUAUUGGGCGUAAAGGGCUCGUAGGUGGUUGAUCGCGUCGGAAGUGUAAUCUUGGGGCUUAACCCUGAGCGUGCUUUCGAUACGGGUUGACUUGAGGAAGGUAGGGGAGAAUGGAAUUCCUGGUGGAGCGGUGGAAUGCGCAGAUAUCAGGAGGAACACCAGUGGCGAAGGCGGUUCUCUGGGCCUUUCCUGACGCUGAGGAGCGAAAGCGUGGGGAGCGAACAGGCUUAGAUACCCUGGUAGUCCACGCUGUAAACGGUGGGUACUAGGUGUGGGGUCCAUUCCACGGGUUCCGUGCCGUAGCUAACGCUUUAAGUACCCCGCCUGGGGAGUACGGCCGCAAGGCUAAAACUCAAAGGAAUUGACGGGGCCCCGCACAAGCGGCGGAGCAUGCGGAUUAAUUCGAUGCAACGCGUAGAACCUUACCUGGGUUUGACAUGGAUCGGGAGUGCUCAGAGAUGGGUGUGCCUCUUUUGGGGUCGGUUCACAGGUGGUGCAUGCCUGUCGUCAGCUCAUGUCGUGAGAUGUUGGGUUAAGUCCCGCAACGAGCGCAACCCUUGUUCACUGUUGCCAGCACGUUAUGGUGGGGACUCAGUGGAGACCGCCGGGGUCAACUCGGAGGAAGGUGGGGAUGACGUCAAGUCAUCAUGCCCCUUAUGUCCAGGGCUUCACGCAUGCUACAAUGGCUGGUACAGAGAGUGGCGAGCCUGUGAGGGUGAGCGAAUCUCGGAAAGCCGGUCUCAGUUCGGAUUGGGGUCUGCAACUCGACCUCAUGAAGUCGGAGUCGCUAGUAAUCGCAGAUCAGCAACGCUGCGGUGAAUACGUUCCCGGGGCU